GCGCUCAUUUCGGCAGCACAUAUACAAGUGGAAUGAUACAGAGAAGAUUAGCAUGGCCCCUGUGGAAGGAUGACAUGCAAAUUCGUGAAGCGUUCCGUAUCUUU
Camelus dromedarius (Arabian camel) is the source of this 104-nucleotide small nuclear RNA. Lineage: Eukaryota; Metazoa; Chordata; Mammalia; Artiodactyla; Camelidae. The record is from Ensembl.